Molecule: long non-coding RNA, 422 nt
Filed under: Ananas comosus (pineapple)
Lineage: Eukaryota; Viridiplantae; Streptophyta; Magnoliopsida; Poales; Bromeliaceae
Description: long non-coding RNA (ACOM_LNC008298)
Source: RNAcentral
AUAAAUCAAAAUUUAGUUUCAUAUUUUAAAUUAUCCACUCAACUUCAAAGUUUAAUUUUUUUAAAAAAAUAGACUUAAAAUUUUGACAUUAUUUCAAAAUUUUGAUGUAAAUUUUUAAUAUUUAAUUUUUAAUUUGAAUUUAAAUUAAUAUAUUAUAAAGAUAAUGUUAGUAUAUUAAUUUGAUUACAUUUUUUAUAUCCGCCUGAACCAAACACCGACAAUGGGAAUGAUUUAUUCCGAUUCCGAUUCAGGUGAUGAACCAAACAGAAUUAGGUAAUGAGUCAUUCCGAUUCCGAUUCCAGCUUAUUUUGAUUCCGAUUCCGAUUUCGAUUCCGACUUCAAACCAAACGCGCCCUAACAGUAUUAUAAUAUUUUUAUAUAAUAUUUUAUAACGUGAUAAUAUAUAUUUCUUACCUAACGAA